AACUUUCAACAACGGAUCUCUUGGUUCUGGCAUCGAUGAAGAACGCAGCGAAAUGCGAUAAGUAAUGUGAAUUGCAGAAUUUAGUGAAUCAUCGAAUCUUUGAACGCACAUUGCGCCUAUUGGUAUUCCGAUAGGCAUGCACGUUCGAGCGUC
Molecule: ribosomal RNA, 153 nt
Filed under: uncultured fungus
Lineage: Eukaryota; Fungi
Description: 5.8S ribosomal RNA
Rfam family: 5.8S ribosomal RNA
About the family: 5.8S ribosomal RNA (5.8S rRNA) is a component of the large subunit of the eukaryotic ribosome. It is transcribed by RNA polymerase I as part of the 45S precursor that also contains 18S and 28S rRNA. Functionally, it is thought that 5.8S rRNA may be involved in ribosome translocation.
Source: RNAcentral